RNAcentral lists this transfer RNA (61 nucleotides) under Fukomys damarensis (Damara mole-rat). It matches the Rfam family "tRNA", at positions 6 to 65 of the family's 71-position model. Rfam says of the family: Transfer RNA (tRNA) molecules are approximately 80 nucleotides in length. Lineage: Eukaryota; Metazoa; Chordata; Mammalia; Rodentia; Bathyergidae. The record is from Rfam by way of RNAcentral.
UGUAGCUGAGUGGUAGAGCACUUGCCUAGCAUGCAUGAGGCCCUGGGUUCUACCCCCAACA